UGUUUUUUUUUUUUUUUUUCCUUUUACAUGAAAAUUGAAAAGUGUUCAUGGCUUUAGCAACAGGCUUUUGGAGGGUUUUGUGUGAGGCUUUUCAUAUGAUAAUUGGUAGAUUCUAUGGCAACCAUUGAAAAAGAAGCCCUGAAAACAAAAGCUGCAGCAGAAGAGGAUCAGUACAUAUUCACUAUGUCUGCGGGAAUAACGGCAGAGACUCACUCUUCAGAAAGAUCAGGAUGCUUUCCAGAAAAGCCAAAGGCACUACAGAGAGGCAAAACUAGAGUAUGAGAGAAGAGAAUCAAGAGUGCCUGAUCCAAAUCCUACUGCAUUAGUGGUAAAUUUCUCCUUGACCACAGGGAAUUUUGGAUGAGAUCCCAUGCUCUGAUUUUGGCAGUCAGCUUGGCUACCACAUCACAGUCCACUUCAGCUUGAAACAAGCAAGACCUAAACCAGAGAAAAAAGUAGGUUAAAAAUAAAAACAGUAUUAGAUCUAUGAGGACCUUGCCA
This 501-nucleotide long non-coding RNA is filed under the name Struthio camelus australis. RNAcentral's name for it is "lncRNA (ENSSCUG00000017417.1)". The record is from RNAcentral. Lineage: Eukaryota; Metazoa; Chordata; Aves; Struthioniformes; Struthionidae.